UGGGGAAUAUUGGACAAUGGGGGCAACCCUGAUCCAGCAAUGCCGCGUGUGUGAAGAAGGUCUUCAGAUUGUAAAGCACUUUCGACGGGGACGAUGAUGACGGUACCCGUAGAAGAAGCCCCGGCUAACUUCGUGCCAGCAGCCGCGGUAAUACGAAGGGGGCUAGCGUUGCUCGGAAUGACUGGGCGUAAAGGGCGUGUAGGCGGUUUACACAGUCAGAUGUGAAAUCCCCGGGCUUAACC
Molecule: ribosomal RNA, 242 nt
Filed under: uncultured bacterium
Lineage: Bacteria
Description: partial 16S ribosomal RNA
Rfam family: Bacterial small subunit ribosomal RNA
Source: RNAcentral